This is a long non-coding RNA of Aphis gossypii (cotton aphid), 392 nucleotides long. RefSeq lists it as uncharacterized. The transcript is spliced from 3 exons. NCBI's taxonomy places the organism in Eukaryota, Metazoa, Arthropoda, Insecta, Hemiptera, Aphididae. The record is from RefSeq and is a predicted model, not a curated record.
UUAUUGUCUCGUCUGGCUUUCGCUUCAGCCCGAAACAAAAGGGCAACCAUUAAAAAACAUAAAAGGAGUAAAAAACCGCCACAAUAAAACGAAUCAUUACCCUAGUGAGAACAUUUGAUACGUUACAACGUUGGACAUGAUUGACCAUUGUUUUUGAUCGGAAACUGUCAAAAAAAUAAACAUAUCGCUUCUCGUCUCCCUCGAAUGAGUUCACUGAAUGAAUUACUUGAAGACGACUUGCCUCUCAUCCACGACAUGACCGGAAGGCAAUUUAAUAGACCAAAUCAUAACGUUUUGCCCGAGGAUGUAAAACCAUAAUGGGCGAAAUUAGUAUUGGACUUUGUUAUGUUGUCACUUGUCAGAUAAUACGUUUAGAGAAAUGCGCCAAGUAU